Long non-coding RNA from Zea mays, 1615 nucleotides. RefSeq lists it as uncharacterized. The transcript has 3 exons. The record is from RefSeq and is a predicted model, not a curated record. NCBI's taxonomy places the organism in Eukaryota, Viridiplantae, Streptophyta, Magnoliopsida, Poales, Poaceae.
UUGUAUUUGAAAUGUCAUUCGUAGUAGAAAUUAUAAUAAAAAAGGAAAGAAAAAUCCUAUUUUUACUUCUCCCACCGCCCUCUCUCCAUCUUGUGCACGUCCAUUCUCUGGAACUCCCACCGCUCAGUCUCAUCUCUAUGCUUAUCCCCACCGUUUCUUCUAGUCUAUGUACGAUGCUCCUUUGUUCUUUAUUCUGAGAUGAGCAUUUCCUGGAAGCACACACGCGCUCUCAUCUCCAGCCAUCCAGACAAACGACCGCGUCGGCAGCAGCAGAGCUCGCUGCCUGUGUCUCUUUCAAGCUCUCGGCGCUAGCUCUUACUAGCAGGCGGCGCCCAGGUCCAGCUCCCUCCAUCGCGUCCUCGCGCUCGCUCCUGACACAGAGUUCCGAGCCAUGUCGGGCCUGUCCUCCAGGCGUGCUCGGCCUUAUAUCAGAUUCCUUGCCUCGACCUCAUCGCAGCAGCAUCGGUGCUCCGUCGUCGCUGAGUUCUCUCGGCGCACUGCGACGUCGUCGUCGUCGUCGUCUCCUCGCCGGCCGUGCUCGACUCCACAGCUCCUUCACGUCGUCGACUUCGAUAACCCACGGCCUCUCCUCCAAUCACAUCGCACUCACUCGCGGUGUCGUCGUGAAGACGCUAGCUGCCUGCCUCGCCGAUCACGUUUUCGGUGAAUCGAUCACUUGGUGAAGCAAUUUUCUAGAGGUUGGUUAUCCCCCAAAAGGCUUGUAGCAUUUUGUUUCUUUUUCAUUUGGCUUUCGCUGCAACAAAGGCAAGCCUCAGUGCAUUCACCAUUUUCCGUGUUCUUUACAAAACUUUUAUCACUUGAUAUAAUGCAUUAUGUGAUAGGAGUUGCGUGAUCAAACAAUUGAUGCAUUAAUUCCUUGAGAAUUUUAAUAAUUAUUCCUUGAUAACUGUUGUAUGAAAAAAUAGUGCUGCUUAUCCCUGCUUAAUGAGAUAGGGUUUUGAAACUUAUUUUGAUUACUGGAUGUUGUUAUUGUUAGAGAAAUAGUCAUUUUUAGUUUUAAUUUAAUCCAGAAAACUAGAGUGAUGUAUGUGCAUGUGUGUAUCACUACUCACAUAAGCAGUAAACAACAGUAAAACAUACACAAUUACUCUGAACAUAAUGUACCCUGUGGAGGGAUCGUUGCUCAAGGCAUUAGUGGCUCCAUUCACAUGAGACAUCUCGUGUGUAUGUUCGAUGUAGUCGCACGUAGUCGAUGGAGGUAGAUGUACACAGUGUAGCCCCUCGAACGGCGUCGGCGUCGAGGAACCUGAUCAGCGUUGAUCGAGCGGACGAAGCGAGCAGUCGCGAGUACGCUCCCCAAAAACAUGAUCGCCCGCACACCUGUGCAAGUGUAGCUCUAUGGAUGGUGAUUUCAGAGGCAUGCUCUCCCAUACUCUUUGUGCUCGUAGAAGGUGGGACGAGAAUGGCUGUGUGCAACGCGUCUGAGACUGUUCGUACGUGCUAUAAUCAGAAGCAGCCUACCCUCCUCCAUAUAUUUACAUGCGCAGAGGGAGGCGAAUGGACGAUAACGGUCGUCAUCAGAGCUACCAUUACAAAUGUAACACCCCUGGUGUUACUGUCACUAAAACUUGAGCAUAACAUCAUGAGCAUUAGC